UGGGGGAUCGUCUAGAGGCAGGACACGAGACUUUGGAUCUCGUUACCCAGGUUCGAAUCCUGGUCCCCCAGCCA
This 74-nucleotide transfer RNA is filed under the name Candidatus Tectimicrobiota bacterium. Its description in RNAcentral is "tRNA-Gln". It matches the Rfam family "tRNA". Rfam says of the family: Transfer RNA (tRNA) molecules are approximately 80 nucleotides in length. The record is from RNAcentral. Lineage: Bacteria; Pseudomonadati; Candidatus Tectimicrobiota.